GUGCUCGCUUCAGCAGCACAUAUACUAAAACUGGCACAACACAGAGAAGAUUAGCAUGGCCCUGCGCAAGGAUGACGCAGAUUCGUGAGGUGUUCCAUAUUUUA
Molecule: small nuclear RNA, 104 nt
Organism: Balaenoptera musculus (blue whale)
Lineage: Eukaryota; Metazoa; Chordata; Mammalia; Artiodactyla; Balaenopteridae
Source: Ensembl